GGAGGGCAAAGUCUGGUGCCAGCAGCCGCGGUAAUUCCAGCUCCAAUAGCGUAUAUUAAAGUUGUUGCAGUUAAAAAGCUCGUAGUUGAAUUUCGGGAUCAAUUCGUCGGUCGUGCUUUCGGGUACGUACUGGUGUUUAUUGGUUUCUCCCUUCUGACGAACCAUGAUGUCAUUAAUUUGGUGUUAUGGGGAGUUAGGACUGUUACUUUGAAAAAAUUAGAGUGUUUAAAGCAG
This 234-nucleotide ribosomal RNA is filed under the name uncultured Glomus. RNAcentral's name for it is "partial 18S ribosomal RNA". It matches the Rfam family "Eukaryotic small subunit ribosomal RNA", at positions 550 to 783 of the family's 1831-position model. The record is from RNAcentral. Lineage: Eukaryota; Fungi; Glomeromycota; Glomeromycetes; Glomerales; Glomeraceae.